Molecule: ribosomal RNA, 464 nt
Filed under: uncultured bacterium
Lineage: Bacteria
Description: partial 16S ribosomal RNA
Rfam family: Bacterial small subunit ribosomal RNA
Source: RNAcentral
UGGGGAAUAUUGCACAAUGGGCGCAAGCCUGAUGCAGCGACGCCGCGUGAGGGAUGACGGCCUUCGGGUUGUAAACCUCUUUUGUUAGGGAGCAAGCGAGAGUGAGUGUACCUUUCGAAUAAGCACCGGCUAACUACGUGCCAGCAGCCGCGGUAAUACGUAGGGUGCAAGCGUUAUCCGGAAUUAUUGGGCGUAAAGAGCUCGUAGGCGGCUUGUCGCGUCCGGUGUGAAAGUCCAUCGCUUAACGGUGGAUCUGCGCCGGGUACGGGCAGGCUAGAAUGCGGUAGGGGAGACUGGAAUUCCCGGUGUAACGGUGGAAUGUGUAGAUAUCGGGAAGAACACCAAUGGCGAAGGCAGGUCUCUGGGCCGUUAUUGACGCUGAGGAGCGAAAGCGUGGGGAGCGAACAGGAUUAGAUACCCUGGUAGUCCACGCCGUAAACGGUGGACGCUGGAUGUGGGGCCCG